GAUCAUGGCUCAGGAUAAACGCUGGCGGCGCACAUAAGACAUGCAAGUCGAACGAACUUAACCAUUAGUUUACUAUUGGAGCGGUUAGUGGCGGACUGGUGAGUAACACGUAAGCAACCUGCCUAUCAGAGGGGAACAACAGUUAGAAAUGACUGCUAAUACCGCAUAUGCCUUAGAACCACAUGGUUCAAAAGGGAAAGGAGCAAUCCGCUGAUAGAUGGGCUUGCGU
Molecule: ribosomal RNA, 229 nt
Filed under: uncultured bacterium
Lineage: Bacteria
Description: partial 16S ribosomal RNA
Rfam family: Bacterial small subunit ribosomal RNA
Source: RNAcentral